CCUACGGGCGGCUGCAGUGGGGAAUAUUCCACAAUGGGGGAAACCCUGAUGCAGCAACGCCGCGUGAGUGAUGACGGCCUUCGGGUUGUAAAGCUCUGUCUUCAGGGACGAUAAUGACGGUACUUGAGGAGGAAGCCACGGCUAACGACGUGCCAGGAGCCGCGGUAAUACGUAGGUGGCGAGCGUUGUCCGGCUUUACUGGGCGGAAAGGGAGCGUAGGCGGACUUUUAAGGGCGAGGUGAAAUACUCGGGCUCAACUUGAGUGCUGCAUUUCAAACUGGAAGUCUAGAGUGCAGGAGAGGAGAAUGGAAUUCCUAGUGAAGCGGUGAAAUGCGUAGAGAUUAGGAAGAACACCAGUGGCGAAGGCGAUUCUCUGGACUGUAACUGACGCUGAGGCUCGAAAGCGUGGGGAGCAAACAGGAUUAGAUACCCUUGUAGUC
Molecule: ribosomal RNA, 440 nt
Filed under: uncultured bacterium
Lineage: Bacteria
Description: partial 16S ribosomal RNA
Rfam family: Bacterial small subunit ribosomal RNA
Source: RNAcentral